This is a long non-coding RNA of Choloepus didactylus (southern two-toed sloth), 3463 nucleotides long. RefSeq lists it as uncharacterized. The record is from RefSeq and is a predicted model, not a curated record. Lineage: Eukaryota; Metazoa; Chordata; Mammalia; Pilosa; Megalonychidae. The transcript is spliced from 5 exons.
GAUGCAACAGCACAGAGCUGGAGACAGACAGCAUGGCAAAGGGGUGUCGGGCCUCUUUCCUUCAAUGAGUGUUCACUGAGCACCUCACCCCCUGUGUGCCGGGCCCUGUUCCGACACCAGGGAUGCAGAUAGGAGUAGGACAGACAGCCUCCAGCCUCUUCCAGCUUCUCUCCUAGUAGGCGAAAAAGAGCAUGACUACAUGAACACCGUGAAGGAAAUUGAAGCCGGAAGCCAGGCCUGGUGGGGCCUCUUCACCUGGGAUCUGGUACCCAAGGAAAGUCCUGCUCUUGACCAUGCUGGGAGAAGACAAGGCCUUUCCAGCCACCAGCCAGAUCCCCUCUACCAAGGUCGUUGCAUUUCAGAGCUCACCAAACCCAACUAAGAUUUCUAAAACUGGAGAUCAGUCAUGGCUGUCCAAGUACAAACGCCUCAGGAAGAAGGGACAAGCCUCCUUUGCCACUCAAGCCAAAGGAAACACACCAAGCCAAAGGGAAUGAAGUUCUCAUCCUUGGUGACAGUCCCUGGGCCGCAAUCAAAUCAUCUGGCCUUAAGCUAACCUAGGCCAGAAAUGUGUCAGGCCUGCAGCUGUGAGGCACACCCAGGCACUGGAAAGCACACAGAAAACUGAGGCCCAGGAGGAAGUGUUUCUCCAGAGUCAGAGGUGAAACAGAAAAGCCAGGGCUUUUUCCCCUUCAGCUGCCUGUGACAUUCUGCUGUCAUAGGGACACAGGAACAAAAAAAGCUUGUUUGCAAACAAACAUCUGAAAGAAUAUAGUAACAGCUGAUCUGGGCUACAGCGUCAAAACAAAGUGAUGAUUGUGGAAGAAGACAAUGCAAACUACUCUGAAGCAAGAAACUUGAGGGCAGAGAACUUGCAGUAAUGUGUAUGCUGGGUAUUUCCACCAGCCCAGAGGCCCCAUCUGGAAAAGACUUAAACCAGGAGGGUCUCCACCACCUGAAUAGAAAGAAGUCACUGCCACAAACAGCACUGUGCAGUUUUAUUAACCAUUCAAGUACAGUAGCAUCUGGUAAAAUGGGGACAGAAUUGGGAUUUAAAAGUGAACAGAUAUUCAGCAUCUAAUAGUUUGAAAGAAGCCACUACAUACUCUUUUCACAAACAUAUUUUCACAGAGCCAAUACAGUACUAGCCAUUAACCCAGUACACCAAGUGUACUGAAGUAGAAAAGAUGCAACAAGAAAAAUAGCUACAUUAGAAAGACCUCAACACUUUAGAAAAAGAGUAAAACACUUUUAGUUUCUCCCCUUUAUCCCCUAAAACAACAUCAUACAGUCUGGAUCUACUUAUAUAGUCCUACAUCAGCUUCUAGAAUAUUUGUCAGGAGGGGAAAAAAAAAUGACACUGGCCAGUACAGUCUUUGGAUAUUUAGGAAGGGGAGGGGGAGAAAGUCAGUUCUCAGAACAAAUUAGUCAGCUUCUGUCUCAUCAGCAGGAUCUUUGGAUUCUUUGUUCUUCCGCACUUCUUCAAUGUGCUUGUCCUGUAAAGAAACAGUACCCGAGUAUAAUCAGUCAAAUAAAAAAACCUGCCAAAUGGUGGCCCCUGAGAAGCCCAGCAGUCUCAGUGCAUGUAUUAGGUCCUGUGGGAACCACCUACUUUGAGUACUGAGACAUCUUCAAACCUCCUGGGCCACUUGUAGAACCUCCUAAUGACUAAGCCUCCUAUUGCUCUUCCAAGGAACAUGCAAUGAUAUUGAAAAUUACUGAAUAUUCCAUCUUAUUUUACAACAAGAUACCUUCUAUUUACUGUAUCAAGCCUCAAAAUUGGUAGCAACAAAAAGAUGCCAAACACCUUUUAACAAGGCAUUAAUCCAAGCCACUUCACUGGUGCCUGAAACUUCAAGCUCCUAACCCUCCUACAAAGCUCAGAUGAGAAACCAACCUUUUCUCGCAAACGCUCCAGUUUGGCAGCCAUUUGUGCCUCUCGGUUCUCUUUGUUGGCUUCCAUUUUGUGAGUCAAUUUCUCUUCCGCCAUUUUACUGAAGUUGUUGUUCUCUUCUAUUGCUUUCUGAAGCACUUCUUUCUCAUGCUCUCGUUUCUCAGCAAGCUGCUUCAAGACCUCGGCUUCAUGGGACUGGAAAAAAGUUUAACAGGCUAGGCUCUCUGAAAUGUAUUCAACAUUAGUUACAAUUACAAUGGAAAAUUACUUAUUGGGGGAUGGAAAGAGGCAGAAAGUAAGGUCCCUUUAAAUAAAUCUUAAGUCAGGACUUGAAUUAUCCCUACCAUAAUUUUAUGAAUUUAAUGUGAAAAUCAUAUUCCUUUUCUAGUAUUUGUUUUUACUGUAUGUAUUCAGAGAUCUCUUGCCCAAUUAUUCCUUAAGGAAAUCCUUAUAAUAUUUACUGCUUAAUGGUUUUGGACAAUUAAGGGAUAUACACUUAGGAAUGGAGCUUUAUUAUAAAAAAUUUUGGUUAACUUCAAAGGCUACUGAAAGAAAACUAGCUCAUUUUAAAAAUUAACUGUAAUUGCUAAAAACAAAACAAAACGGUAUGUGAGUGAUGGAAAAUUUAAAACUAAGUCUCUAGAUUACUACUUAAAUAGAGAGAUUUCUUUUAAAGGAAGGGCCUAUUAGCUUUUCUCUGUGGAAGCUCCAUUAACUCCCAAACCAUUGGAGUUCUGUUCCACGGUGUGCCUUCCUCGACAGACUCAGAAUAGCUUGUUACCAAACAUUCAGAUAUGUUUGGACGCAUUGGCUUGCAGGAGAACUACGGAGCGUCUGCUACAACUGCUGCUGAUUCUGUUAAUUCUCAUCGGCAAAACCCCAGUCACGAUAAGCGUUUCACUAUAUUUAGCCAGUUAACUAUGUAAAGCACAGCCUAAUGACAACAGGGCCAGGGCUGAUUCCUAAGAAACUUCCCUCUCUUCAGCCUUUGGUUGCAUCUCUUCUUCCUACUCUAUGAACUCAAAAUAACACAGGAGUGCAGGCAGGAGACAAUGUGCCAGUGCAAACACUGCCCAUCUUCCUGGCAAAAGGGUUCAUUUGUUUUUAUUGUAUAGAGCUGAAAAAAAUUAUAAAAAGAGAAAGAAGGAAAGAAGAAAAGAAUGGAAAGAAGGGAGGGAGAGAGGAAAAGGAAGGAAGGAAGGAAAGAAAAUCCCCCCAAUAAAUCUAUUUUUUCACAAGGAAGCAUGAGCUUUGGUUUAAAACAAACUUGGGCUUAAAUUCUGGCUCCAAUACUUACUGGUUGUACGACUUCAGGAAAAUGACUUAACAUUCCCGAGACUGUUCUCUAAUCUCCAUACCUCAAACAACACUUACCUUGUAGGGGCACUGUGUUAAAGGAGAAAAAUAUAAGUAAAAGAGCUGGUACAUAAUAGGAGCUCACAAAAUGAUAGCUGGUAUUUUCUUCCAGCCAUCGGAAUAUGUAAUUUUCACAUAGUUAUAAUCAUGGUGUAGCUACACUGUUUUCCCUGUAAUGGAAAUAAAACUGAUUUGCUGCAUUAGUUAAUAAAC